UGUCCUCCUAUUGAUGAAAUGGAUACCCUCCUUUGAGAGUGGAUAUAACCUGAACUCCCUUCUUUAUUCUUUUGCCAAGGGUAAAACUCUUACAGGUGAAGUUUCAGACAAGGGAAAGGAGAAGCAUGAGGAGAAGUUGAGAAUUUAAUAUAGCUUUUGCUGGUUAUAAAGUGUAUUUUGAAUUGUGUGAAAAGAUUAAUGCAUAUUUGCUAGUUACUAGCAUGCUUUAUGGACAUAAUCUUGUGCAAUUGGGUUGUGUUGUUGAUAAUUUGAAGUACCAUAUUUGUAUCUUUAGGAUGUAAACAACUCAAUUGAGAUUGGUCUAGCCUUGGCCUUUGGAUUUUGCAAGUUCUCAGUGUUUUCAA
Neltuma alba is the source of this 365-nucleotide long non-coding RNA. RefSeq lists it as uncharacterized. The transcript is spliced from 2 exons. NCBI's taxonomy places the organism in Eukaryota, Viridiplantae, Streptophyta, Magnoliopsida, Fabales, Fabaceae. The record is from RefSeq and is a predicted model, not a curated record.